Molecule: ribosomal RNA, 1461 nt
Filed under: uncultured organism
Description: 16S ribosomal RNA
Rfam family: Bacterial small subunit ribosomal RNA
Source: RNAcentral
ACGAACGCUGGCGGCGUGCCUAAUACAUGCAAGUAGAACGCUGAAGAGAGGAGCUUGCUCUUCUUGGAUGAGUUGCGAACGGGUGAGUAACGCGUAGGUAACCUGCCUGGUAGCGGGGGAUAACUAUUGGAAACGAUAGCUAAUACCGCAUAAAAUUGAUUAUUGCAUGAUAAUUAAUUGAAAGAUGCAAUUGCAUCACUACCAGAUGGACCUGCGUUGUAUUAGCUAGUUGGUGAGGUAACGGCUCACCAAGGCGACGAUACAUAGCCGACCUGAGAGGGUGAUCGGCCACACUGGGACCGAGACACGGCCCAGACUCCUACGGGAGGCGGCAGUAGGGAAUCUUCGGCAAUGGGGGGAACCCUGACCGAGCAACGCCGCGUGAGUGAAGAAGGUUUUCGGAUCGUAAAGCUCUGUUGUAAGAGAAGAACGGGUGUGAGAGUGGAAAGUUCACACUGUGACGGUAUCUUACCAGAAAGGGACGGCUAACUACGUGCCAGCAGCCGCGGUAAUACGUAGGCCCCGAGCGUUGUCCGGAUUUAUUGGGCGUAAAGCGAGCGCAGGCGGUUAGAUAAGUCUGAAGUUAAAGGCUGUGGCUUAACCAUAGUAUGCUUUGGAAACUGUUUAACUUGAGUGCAGAAGGGGAGAGUGGAAUUCCAUGUGUAGCGGUGAAAUGCGUAGAUAUAUGGAGGAACACCGGUGGCGAAAGCGGCUCUCUGGUCUGUAACUGACGCUGAGGCUCGAAAGCGUGGGGAGCAAACAGGAUUAGAUACCCUGGUAGUCCACGCCGUAAACGAUGAGUGCUAGGUGUUAGGCCCUUUCCGGGGCUUAGUGCCGCAGCUAACGCAUUAAGCACUCCGCCUGGGGAGUACGACCGCAAGGUUGAAACUCAAAGGAAUUGACGGGGGCCCGCACAAGCGGUGGAGCAUGUGGUUUAAUUCGAAGCAACGCGAAGAACCUUACCAGGUCUUGACAUCCCUCUGACCGCUCUAGAGAUAGAGUUUUCCUUCGGGACAGAGGUGACAGGUGGUGCAUGGUUGUCGUCAGCUCGUGUCGUGAGAUGUUGGGUUAAGUCCCGCAACGAGCGCAACCCCUAUUGUUAGUUGCCAUCAUUCAGUUGGGCACUCUAGCGAGACUGCCGGUAAUAAACCGGAGGAAGGUGGGGAUGACGUCAAAUCAUCAUGCCCCUUAUGACCUGGGCUACACACGUGCUACAAUGGCUGGUACAACGAGUCGCAAGCCGGUGACGGCAAGCUAAUCUCUGAAAGCCAGUCUCAGUUCGGAUUGUAGGCUGCAACUCGCCUACAUGAAGUCGGAAUCGCUAGUAAUCGCGGAUCAGCACGCCGCGGUGAAUACGUUCCCGGGCCUUGUACACACCGCCCGUCACACCACGAGAGUUUGUAACACCCGAAGUCGGUGAGGUAACCGUAAGGAGCCAGCCGCCUAAGGUGGGAUAGAUGA